UUUGUCCCGCUACAGCUGCUCUCUGGAAAUUGUCCUCAACGUGACGAUGUCUCCUGCAUCUCAGUCCUCAAAUAUUGUCGCGUUGUGUGUGUCUCCCCUGCUCGCCAUGGGACCAGACCCGCCACAGUCCAGGUGGCGUGUAGCCCACGGCGUUGGAGGAAGAGACCGUCCAACUUGAACUUGACAUUUACUGGUUGGCUGCCUGGAUAAAGUUCUGUUCGUACCGGAGUGUCAAUGGAAAUUGCAACGCAGCAGUGUUUCCCAAGAUGAGAUGUGUAUUGGCUGACAGAGACAUGGUGUUGUGCGAUUACCGUUGUCUGUUUUUCUCACCCUUCAGCUGGAAGGAAAAACUUAACUGUCAAAAGCCGGAAUAUCAACAGGGUCACAACGACCUUUUGGCCGCAGCCCUUGGUCGUAAAUAAAGCUCUAUUAUGUGAAGUAUUAAUAA
Long non-coding RNA from Pleuronectes platessa (European plaice), 448 nucleotides. RefSeq lists it as uncharacterized. The transcript is spliced from 2 exons. The record is from RefSeq and is a predicted model, not a curated record. NCBI's taxonomy places the organism in Eukaryota, Metazoa, Chordata, Actinopteri, Pleuronectiformes, Pleuronectidae.